Molecule: long non-coding RNA, 322 nt
Organism: Alosa sapidissima (American shad)
Lineage: Eukaryota; Metazoa; Chordata; Actinopteri; Clupeiformes; Clupeidae
Exons: 3
Source: RefSeq, a predicted model, not a curated record
CGGCUGGCGAGAGUUUAGCAAGAGAGAAAAUGCAGUCAAAGCACUAUCUAUCCAGACACACUGCUGCUACCCACACAUCGACAGUGCAGGCUCUGCGUCAGGAGCUAACUCUUCCUUCCAGAAGCCCAGACUCCAACAGAGGAGAGACGUGCCGCUGAUGGAUGGCUGUGAGCUGGACUCUCCUCUAAAAGGGGUCUGAGAUCAGCCUGGAUCUGCUCUCGAUAUGCCAUGAAUCAAGAAUGGAUGGACGUUCCUGCCUGUGUGCGUUUUGCAGGAACAGCUAUUGCCGAUGGGGAUCAUGGAGUAGUCUGUGUAAUGUGCC